This 495-nucleotide ribosomal RNA is filed under the name uncultured bacterium. RNAcentral's name for it is "partial 16S ribosomal RNA". It matches the Rfam family "Bacterial small subunit ribosomal RNA", at positions 28 to 506 of the family's 1533-position model. The record is from RNAcentral.
GAUGAACGCUGGCGGCGUGCCUAAUACAUGCAAGUCGAGCGAACAGACGAGGAGCUUGCUCCUCUGACGUUAGCGGCGGACGGGUGAGUAACACGUGGAUAACCUACCUAUAAGACUGGGAUAACUCGGGAAACCGGAGCUAAUACCGGAUAAUAUAUUGAACCGCAUGGUUCAAUAGUGAAAGACGGUUUUGCUGUCACUUAUAGAUGGAUCCGCGCCGCAUUAGCUAGUUGGUAAGGUAACGGCUUACCAAGGCGACGAUGCGUAGCCGACCUGAGAGGGUGAUCGGCCACACUGGAACUGAGACACGGUCCAGACUCCUACGGGAGGCAGCAGUAGGGAAUCUUCCGCAAUGGGCGAAAGCCUGACGGAGCAACGCCGCGUGAGUGAUGAAGGUCUUCGGAUCGUAAAACUCUGUUAUUAGGGAAGAACAAAUGUGUAAGUAACUAUGCACGUCUUGACGGUACCUAAUCAGAAAGCCACGGCUAACUACGU